CGUCUUCGGGGUCCGCCUUGUAUUCUCAAGAAGUGUUUUCCGCUUCGGACCAAGCCUAAGUCCCCUGGAAAGGGGCAUCAUAGAGGGUGAUAAUCCCGUACAUGGCUUGGAGCGCCCGAGGCUUUGUGAUACGCUUUCUAAGAGUCGAGUUGUUUGGGAAUGCAGCUCAAAAUGGGUGGUAAAUGCCAUCUAAGGCUAAAUAUUGGGGAGAGACCGAUAGCGAACAAGUACAGUGAUGGAAAGAUGAAAAGAACUUUGAAAAGAGAGUUAAACAGUACGUGAAAUUGCCAAAAGGGAAGGGUAGGAGGUCAGAGAUGCGGCCUGGGAUUCAGCCUUGCUUUUGCUUGGUGUUUUUCCCAGAUUGCAGGCCAACGUCGGUUUUGGGCACUGGAGAAGGGUAGGAGGAACGUGGCACCCCUCGGGGUGUGUUAUAGCCUCCUACUGGAUACAGCGACCGAGACCGAGGACAGCAGCGUACUCGCAAGAGCGGGCCUUCGGGCACCUUUACGCUUAGGGCGUUGGCAUAAUGGCCCUCUACCAC
Molecule: ribosomal RNA, 541 nt
Filed under: Moesziomyces antarcticus
Lineage: Eukaryota; Fungi; Basidiomycota; Ustilaginomycetes; Ustilaginales; Ustilaginaceae
Description: partial large subunit ribosomal RNA
Rfam family: Eukaryotic large subunit ribosomal RNA
Source: RNAcentral